Molecule: long non-coding RNA, 3186 nt
Filed under: Pan troglodytes (chimpanzee)
Lineage: Eukaryota; Metazoa; Chordata; Mammalia; Primates; Hominidae
Description: lincRNA
Source: RNAcentral
AUAUUAUUUAAAAAUAAAAUCGAACAAAUACCUAUGCACAAAUUUGAGGACAGACUUAAGUGAAGGACAAUAGCCCUCAAAAAUAAGCUUCUAGUUGUGAUUCUGUCUUCUCUUUAUAACAUGACUAGCAUUUAUUUUUUUCAGCAGAAUAAUCACACUAUGAAUUAUUUCCUAUUGAAAAAUCUCCUUUUCCUAAAACUUCAUUUGAACACCAUUGUUUCUACAUACUUCUCUUUGUUUUCAUGCAACUCUUCUUUAGAGGCGAUGUGGACUUUAGAUCUCUGGGAAAGGGCAUACCGGAGGAUUUUACUGGCCUUUGUGACAGAUAAGUGUUGUCAGAAUAUUUGGUGGCUGUGUGUCAGGGGCUUGGGCCUCUCUGUUAUGCAAUUGUGUCACUCUGAGGCUCUCUACUUGAGGGAAUGUUUGUUUCCAUUUUUAAUCAACCUGGGACAAGGCGAAUCCUGCCUCUCAAAGGGUUGUAGAAAAUACUUCCUUGGUCUGUUGGGCCAUGGAGUGCCUCUGAAGAUGUCUGCACAUUCCUUAAGCAGCUGGCUCUGAGGAAGGUCUCAGCUUUAAGACACUGAGGCUGGUUUCCCUUUCUUUUCCCACAAACCUUCAGUAUAAUCUUGUUAAAGUUCUGUCCAGGGUACUGUUGUGCUUUGAGGAACGAAGGGGGACCUGCCCGUGUUCCAAAGGUGGAGUAGUCGUGUGCUCUGCCUGAAGAUGAAGCAGGGGCGUCUCAGUGGUCAGCAUGCGACAGACAGGGUCCCUAGCACAGCGGCAAUCCCUAAAGUGGUCAGCAGCGGAUGCAGCACUGAGGCAGUCAGGUGAAGAUGCAGGCUAGGAAGGGGGUGAGGGAUGAGUAAGGAGAACACAUGAAACCAUUGUCAGGAAUUUGAGGAAUUUACUGGGAGUAAUUUAGGGCACUUUGGCCACCAUAUCCAAAUACAGCCAAUAAUAUGGAUAUUAAAAUGGAGUGCAAUAUUACUGUCAUUUUCAUUUUAGAAAUGUGGAAAUGGAGGCAUCAGGCACAUUACUUGGAGUUGCCUACUACAUACUCCAAAUUUCUUUAAAACCUCAUUGUAAGACGAAGUAAAUGUCAUACACUAUUCCAUAAUAUAGACAGCUGCAUUUUAAUAGUAAGCUAUUAUGAUUAAUAUGAACAUGGUCAUGAAACAAUUUCUCCUCAAACAUUUUUAGUUAAACUUGAGAAGCUGAAAAAUGAAGGCUGCUUCUUGUGUGGCUUUCUAUGCUGCCUGCUUCCCUUUCAAACAUAGAUUCAAACUGCUGCCUACCUACUUGGAAAGUGUUUAGUGUAGUUUUUUUGUUGUUGUUGUUGUUUCUUCAGAGAAAAGGGAAGGCAAAAGGAAAAGAGAAAAGGGAAAGAAAUCCAGAGAAAAGAAUGGGGGGAACUUAGAUUCUCAGGGGUAAAGACAGACAGACUUCAAUCCCAACAUCAGGGAGAGUAGGGGAAACCAACUUGGCCCAGAGCUGUCACUCUCGCUCUCCUCUUGCUUGAACAGCUGCCAAUACCCAGAGUCAGCCUGUCCUGUUGCCCACUGAGCUUCAGGCUUGUAGAGAAAUACUCACAUCUGUGCCAAAAACCUUUUGCCCAGCUCUGACACUUCCGCUUUGAAUCCCAUGGCUCUUCUUGAUUGUACCACUGAAGGUCCAGGACACAAAAAGCCCUCAGGUCAUUUGAUUUAGGAUUUGAACAAUGGAGAGAUGAUCAUGAUCAGAAGAAAAAUUCUUUAUACUUCACAAAGGCAGAAAUAAAAAUCCAGUUUGCAAUUGACUUUUGAGCCUGGAGAAUAAUGGGAAACUUCACCCAUGUUAACUUGUCUUUUGCAAACAAAGUGUCUUUCUGUGUUAGAAUUUUCAAGAGCCUAAUUCUGCUAAUCAUAAUGUAUUUGCACAUGCAAUUAAAAUUUCCAAAUUUUUCUUUUUUAAGGAACUACUCCAAAAAGCUUUCCUUUUCUUUGAGAGUACACCACUGAGUUUUGUAAAGUACCAGACUUUUGCUUGAGUUCCAUAAAAUGUUGUCUGAGCUUCUACACAGCAUGACAGAUGAUCAAAACCACUUUUUCCCUGGAUUUUGUGUCUAUUCAGUUAGUUAUCAAUCCUAGCUUACUGCCGUCUACAAAUCUUAAAAACAUGCCCUUUAUCUCUCUUCCUCCUGGUUAUUAAUUCAAAUUUUAACAAGACAGGGCUAAGAGCCAACCCACUAUAGGGCUUUAUUAAAGACUACUGUACUUUGCAGUUUGAUGUUUAUUAACAUUCUUUGGGCACCUAGCUACAAUAUAACUCAAUUUUCUGUGAAAAACUAUUAAUCAUCCUAUUUUUUCCUUGUCUUUAAUAUGAGAUAAAUUUUAUACCACUGUUUCUCAAACCAUCUGUUGUGAGGGACAGUUUUGCUUUUUAAUUUCCAAUUGUCAGAGACCUAUGCCUUUGUAAAAUAUAAUUAAAAACAAACAUAAAAAUAAAAUUAUUAGAAAAAUGAAAUAAAAGAGAAAUGAAAUAAGAAUAAUUUUAUUAUUAGAUUUAACAGAUCAAAUAUUAUUUCAAUACUCAGAUCAAAUGUGCAAUAAGACAGGGUUGCAAAAAAUGCACACUUUUUUAUUAAAAUCAUUUAUAUAAGUAAUUUAUAUAAAAAUAAUAUUACAGUUGCAACUUUCUGUUGUUUCUCAACUAUGACCAAACAGAGGUUACAAGUGAAGUAGCAAUCCCAAUACUAAACUGCUAUAUGUGCAUUUUGAAUCAAUCAUGUGUAUGUCAAUGAAGUUUUUAAUGUGACAGAUUUGCAUUUUCGUUGUUAAUUUAUAUAAUCUAGGUUGGAUAAAUGACAAUGCCAAUCAUAGGAGAUAAUGUUGAUCCUAAAUGUUAGUGUGUUGAUUUCAUAACACUCAAUGGAGAAGCCAGUCUCAGAGAGGCAUGGUGCUAGACUGGAAGAAAAGAAUUUGAAAUAAUUACAGUAAGCUGAUGGAAUUCACUUUUAUCUAUUUUUAUAAAGCAAGUGAUUGUGUAUUUUUAAAAUUUAUCUUCAAUUCUUCAUCAAUAGCUACUUUUAAUCAUUAACCUUAUAAAUUUAAUUAUAUUUCAAUUAUAUUUUAAUAGAAAGAAUGGAUUUCAUGUUUUUUCUGGUGUGGAUCUUUGAUAAGAAUAUAAAAUUCAAAAUAUUCUGUUAAA